UACGGAGGGUGCAAGCGUUGAUCGGAAUUACUGGGCGUAAAGCGCACGCAGGCGGAUUCUUAAGUCAGGGGUGAAAUCCCCGGGCUCAACCUGGGAACUGCAUCUGAUACUGGCAAGCUUGAGUCCCGUAGAGGGGGGUAGAAUUCCAGGUGUAGCGGUGAAAUGCGUAGAUAUCUGGAGGAAUACCAGUGGCGAAGGCGGCCCCCUGGACGAAGACUGACGCUCAGGUGCGAAAGCGUGGGGAGCAAACAGG
Molecule: ribosomal RNA, 253 nt
Filed under: uncultured bacterium
Lineage: Bacteria
Description: partial 16S ribosomal RNA
Rfam family: Bacterial small subunit ribosomal RNA
Source: RNAcentral